GCCGGUGUUGCUCAGUGGAUAGAGCGUCAGCCUGCGGACUGAAGGGUCCCAGGUUCGAUUCCGGCCAAGGGCA
Molecule: transfer RNA, 73 nt
Filed under: Myotis brandtii (Brandt's bat)
Lineage: Eukaryota; Metazoa; Chordata; Mammalia; Chiroptera; Vespertilionidae
Rfam family: tRNA
About the family: Transfer RNA (tRNA) molecules are approximately 80 nucleotides in length. Their secondary structure includes four short double-helical elements and three loops (D, anti-codon, and T loops).
Source: Rfam by way of RNAcentral